AAUCAACGCUGGCGGCGCGCUUAACACAUGCAAGUCGAACGAGAAAGUGGAGCAAUCCAUGAGUACAGUGGCGUACGGGUGAGUAACACGUGGGUAAUCUGCCUUCUGGUGUGGAAUAACCCUGGGAAACCGGGGCUAAUACCGCAUAAGCUCUAGCGAGGAAAGUCGCAAGACGCCGGAAGAGGAGCCCGCGGCCGAUUAGCUAGUUGGCAGGGUAAGAGCCUACCAAGGCGAAGAUCGGUAGCCGGCCUGAGAGGGCACACGGCCACACUGGCACUGAAACACGGGCCAGACACCUACGGGUGGCUG
This 309-nucleotide ribosomal RNA is filed under the name uncultured Acidobacteriota bacterium. RNAcentral describes it as "bacterial SSU rRNA". It matches the Rfam family "Bacterial small subunit ribosomal RNA", at positions 32 to 351 of the family's 1533-position model. Lineage: Bacteria; Pseudomonadati; Acidobacteriota. The record is from RNAcentral.